Molecule: transfer RNA, 73 nt
Filed under: Cordylochernes scorpioides
Lineage: Eukaryota; Metazoa; Arthropoda; Arachnida; Pseudoscorpiones; Chernetidae
Description: tRNA-Thr
Source: RNAcentral
GUCCAGGGAUGGGAAACGAACCCACAAUGUUCCGCUUACUCGGCAGAUGCCAUGUCCACUAGGCUACCCUGGA